UACGUAGGGGAUAAGCGUUGUCCGGAUUUAUUGGGCGUAAAGAGCGUGUAGGCGGCCAGAUAGGUCGGUUGUGAAAACUGGAGGCUUAACCUCCAGCCGUCGACCGAAACCAUCUGGCUAGAGUCCGGAAGAGGAGAGUGGAAUUCCUGGUGUAGCGGUGAAAUGCGCAGAUAUCAGGAAGAACACCCGUGGCGAAGGCGGCUCCCUGGGACGGUACUGACGCUGAGACGCGAAAGCGUGGGGAGCGAACAGG
RNAcentral lists this ribosomal RNA (253 nucleotides) under uncultured bacterium. RNAcentral's name for it is "partial 16S ribosomal RNA". It matches the Rfam family "Bacterial small subunit ribosomal RNA", at positions 524 to 776 of the family's 1533-position model. The record is from RNAcentral.